Molecule: ribosomal RNA, 890 nt
Filed under: Priestia flexa
Lineage: Bacteria; Bacillati; Bacillota; Bacilli; Caryophanales; Bacillaceae
Description: bacterial SSU rRNA
Rfam family: Bacterial small subunit ribosomal RNA
Source: RNAcentral
CAGUCGAGCGACUGAUUAGAAGCUUGCUUCUAUGACGUUAGCGGCGGACGGGUGAGUAACACGUGGGCAACCUGCCUGUAAGACUGGGAUAACUCCGGGAAACCGGAGCUAAUACCGGAUAACAUUUUCUCUUGCAUAAGAGAAAAUUGAAAGAUGGUUUCGGCUAUCACUUACAGAUGGGCCCGCGGUGCAUUAGCUAGUUGGUGAGGUAACGGCUCACCAAGGCAACGAUGCAUAGCCGACCUGAGAGGGUGAUCGGCCACACUGGGACUGAGACACGGCCCAGACUCCUACGGGAGGCAGCAGUAGGGAAUCUUCCGCAAUGGACGAAAGUCUGACGGAGCAACGCCGCGUGAGUGAUGAAGGCUUUCGGGUCGUAAAACUCUGUUGUUAGGGAAGAACAAGUACAAGAGUAACUGCUUGUACCUUGACGGUACCUAACCAGAAAGCCACGGCUAACUACGUGCCAGCAGCCGCGGUAAUACGUAGGUGGCAAGCGUUAUCCGGAAUUAUUGGGCGUAAAGCGCGCGCAGGCGGUUUCUUAAGUCUGAUGUGAAAGCCCACGGCUCAACCGUGGAGGGUCAUUGGAAACUGGGGAACUUGAGUGCAGAAGAGAAAAGCGGAAUUCCACGUGUAGCGGUGAAAUGCGUAGAGAUGUGGAGGAACACCAGUGGCGAAAGGCGGCUUUUUGGUCUGUAACUGACGCUGAGGCGCGAAAGCGUGGGGAGCAAACAGGAUUAGAUACCCUGGUAGUCCACGCCGUAACGAUGAGUGCUAAGUGUUAGAGGGUUUCCCGCCCUUUAGUGCUGCAGCUAACGCAUUUAAGGCACUCCGCCUGGGGGGAGUACGGUCGCAGACUGGAAAACUUCAAGGAUUUGAACGGGGGCCCG